This 284-nucleotide ribosomal RNA is filed under the name Mycobacterium tuberculosis. Its description in RNAcentral is "partial 16S ribosomal RNA". It matches the Rfam family "Bacterial small subunit ribosomal RNA", at positions 1276 to 1533 of the family's 1533-position model. The record is from RNAcentral. Lineage: Bacteria; Bacillati; Actinomycetota; Actinomycetes; Mycobacteriales; Mycobacteriaceae.
UAAAAGCCGGUCUCAGUUCGGAUCGGGGUCUGCAACUCGACCCCGUGAAGUCGGAGUCGCUAGUAAUCGCAGAUCAGCAACGCUGCGGUGAAUACGUUCCCGGGCCUUGUACACACCGCCCGUCACGUCAUGAAAGUCGGUAACACCCGAAGCCAGUGGCCUAACCCUCGGGAGGGAGCUGUCAAAGGUGGGAUCGGCGAUUGGGACGAAGUCGUAACAAGGUAGCCGUACCGGAAGGUGCGGCUGGAUCACCUCCUUUCUAAGGAGCACCACGAAAACGCCCC